Molecule: long non-coding RNA, 5639 nt
Filed under: Salmo salar (Atlantic salmon)
Lineage: Eukaryota; Metazoa; Chordata; Actinopteri; Salmoniformes; Salmonidae
Description: lncRNA (ENSSSAG00000088261.1)
Source: RNAcentral
UGGGUGAAUACUUCUGAUACCCACUGUAUGAGGGGUAACUUUUACUUUUGUGUUUUUAUAUAAGAUGAUUUAAUACCUGAAAUAUAUUAUUAUUUUAAAAGUUAUGUUUUUAAAGCGUAGUGAGUGACUAUGAACCGUGAGUAGUAGUAGUAGAAGAGACCAGGUUUGAUGUGGAGAUGGCUCUGGUCCAGGGUGUUACGUGUGGCAGGUUCAGCUUCAGCCAAGUCACACGUAACACCCUGGACCAGAGCUAGUGUGGAGGCAGAUGUGUGUGUGUGUUUAUAGGAGCAGUAUAGGGAGGAUCCCUGGUGUAGUUGGAUAUGGGACAGACAGACAGACAGACAGACAGACAGACAGACAGACAGACAGACAGACAGACGUAGUUGGAUAUGGGACAGACAGACAGACAGACAGACAGACAGACAGACAGACAGACAGACAGACGUAGUUGGAUAUGGGACCGACAGACAGACAGACAGACAGACAGACAGACAGACAGACAGACAGACAGACGUAGUUGGAUAUGGGACAGACAGACAGACAGACAGACAGACAGACAGACAACAGACAGACAGACAGACAGACAGACAGACAGACAGACAGACAGACAGACAGACAGACAGACGUAGUUGGAUAUGGGACCGAAGACAGACAGACAGACAGACAGACAGACAGACAGACAGACGUAGUUGGAUAUGGGACAGACAGACAGACAGACAGACAGACAGACAGACGUAGUUGGAUAUGGGACAGACAGACAGACAGACAGACAGACAGACAGACAGACACUGGUGUAGUUGGAUAUGAGACAGACAGACAGACAGACAGACAGACAGACAGACAGACGUAGUCGGAUUUGAGACAGACUUAGUUGGAUAUGAGACAGACAGACAGACAGACAGACGUAGUUGGAUAUGGGACAGACAGACAGACAGACAGACAGACAGACAGACAGACAGACAGACAGACAGACAGACACUGGUGUAGUUGGAUAUCAGACAGACAGACAGACAGACAGACAGACGUAGUUGGAUAUCAGACAGACAGACAGACAGACAGACAGACAGACAGACAGACGUAGUUGGAUAUCAGACAGACAGACAGACAGACAGACAGACAGACAGACAGACAGACAGACAGACAGACGUAGUUGGAUAUCAGACAGACAGACAGACAGACACAGACAGACAGACAGACAGACAGACAGACUUGGAUAUGGGACAGACAGACAGACAGACAGACAGACAGACAGACAGACAGACAGACAGACAGACAGACGUAGUUGGAUAUCAGACAGACAGACAGACAGACAGACAGACAGACAGACAGACAGACAGACGUAGUUGGAUAUCAGACAGACAGACAGACAGACAGACAGACACUGGUGUAGUUGGAUAUCAGACAGACAGACAGACAGACAGACUGGAGUAGUUGGAUAUUUGGACACUAGGCUAACACCCUCCAUGUGAUUGUCUGAAAUGACACCCUAUUCCCUACAUAGUGCAGAGUUCUCCGGUCAAAAGUAGUGCACUAUCCCAUAGGGCUCCGGUCAAAAGUAGUGCACUAUCCCAUAGGGCUCCGGUCAAAAGUAGUGCACUAUCCCAUAGGGCUCUGGUCAAAAGUAGCGCACUAUGUAGGGAAUAGCAUGCUGUUUCAGACACCGCCUGUCUGUCUGUGGAGUGUAAAGAUGUGUUGUUGAUUCUAAUCACAAUCUUUUUGUAAAUUGCAUCAAAAUGGUUUAAAAGCCUCCAUCGGGUUUAAGUUACUGUACAACUGGAAGAUGAUUGGCUGAUGUUUUAAUGAUCCUCUCAGGUGGUCACUGCUUUGAUUGGACGGGAUGAAAUGGUGCUCUGUGAAUGGCUGUUAUGUUGAUGGGGGGCGGGUCUGACCUGUUCUCUCUCUCUGUUUCUAUUGGUCACAUUACUGAUCCGUCUGUCUGUAAAUACAGCUACUGUCUCGAAAGGCAUCCUUUUGGUCGUUACUAGUUAAUACAGCCACAAAGUCAUACUUAUGGCUAAACCCCGCCUAUUUCUAAAAUGUUUAUUCUUAAAAUCAGAUUUUAAACCUAACCCUAACCACAAUGAUAACCUAAUGCCUAACCUUAUUAAAUGAAGUCCAAAAAGCACAUGUUUGUUUUCAUGAAUUUUUUACGAUAUAGCCAAUGCCCUGACUUUGUGGCUGUGAUACAGACAGGAAGUACACUAAACUACAGGAAGUGCUAGGUCACAUGACGGAACAAUUCCAGAAUGAAGUGCAGGUUCUAGAACCAUCCAUGUAGCUAAUGAUUGUGCCUUCUGUUUUACCGUCAUUACGUCCCUAAUGGCACCGGUAGUCCCUAUGUAGUGCACUAGUUUUGGCCAGUCCACUUUCCAUAGGCCCUUGCGAUAGACUGGUGUCCUAUUUAGGGGGUGUACUUGUACAUCAAGCUGCCUCACACUACAGAAACAGGAGAAACAGAGCGAACCUUUUUGGCUCUGACGAUGCUUACUUACUAUACAGGUAAUAUUGGGUCAUUUGAGACACAUACUGUGUGAUAGUGGAUGGGGACGGUUCUACUGUGUGGUAGUGGAUGGGGUCGGUUCUACUGUGUGAUAGUGGAUGGGGUCGUUUCUACUGUGUGAUAGUGGAUGGGGACGGUUCUACUGUGUGAUAGUGGAUGGGGUCGUUCUACUGUGUGGUAGUGGAUGGGGACGGUUCUACUGUGUGGUAGUGGAUGGGGUCGUUCUACUGUGUGGUAGUGGAUGGGGACGUUCUACUGUGUGAUAGUGGAUGGGGACGGUUCUACUGUGUGAUAGUGGAUGGGGUCGUUCUACUGUGUGAUAGUGGAUGGGGUCGUUCUACUGUGUGGUAGUGGAUGGGGUCGUUCUACUGUGUGAUAGUGGAUGGGGACGUUCUACUGUGUGGUAGUGGAUGGGGUCAUUCUACUGUGUGAUAGUGGAUGGGGACGUUCUACUGUGUGAUAGUGGAUGGGGUCGUUCUACUGUGUGAUAGUGGAUGGGGACGUUCUACUGUGUGGUAGUGGAUGGGGUCGUUCUACUGUGUGAUAGUGGAUGGGGACGUUCUACUGUGUGAUAGUGGAUGGGGUCGUUCUACUGUGUGAUAGUGGAUGGGGACGUUCUACUGUGUGGUAGUGGAUGGGGUCGUUCUACUGUGUGGUAGUGGAUGGGGUCGUUCUACUGUGUGGUAGUGGAUGGGGACGUUCUACUGUGUGAUAGUGGAUGGGGUCGUUCUACUGUGUGAUAGUGGAUGGGUUCGUUCUACUGUGUGGUAGUGGAUGGGGUCGUUCUACUGUGUGGUAGCGGAUGGGGUCGUUCUACUGUGUGGUAGCGGAUGGGGACGUUCUACUGUGUGGUAGCGGAUGGGGUCGUUCUACUGUGUGAUAGUGGAUGGGGACGUUCUACUGUGUGAUAGUGGAUGGGGUCGUUCUACUGUGUGAUAGUGGAUGGGGUCGUUCUACUGUGUGGUAGUGGAUGGGGACGUUCUACUGUGUGAUAGUGGAUGGGGUCGUUCUACUGUGUGAUAGUGGAUGGGGACGGUUCUACUGUGUGAUAGUGGAUGGGGUCGUUCUACUGUGUGAUAGUGGAUGGGGUCGUUCUACUGUGUGAUAGUGGAUGGGGUCGUUCUACUGUGUGGUAGUGGAUGGGGUCGUUCUACUGUGUGAUAGUGGAUGGGGUGGUGAUCUGAUCCUCUGUCUGUCUGUCUGCGUACCGAUCUGUCUGUGGUGAUCUGAUCCUCUGUCUGUCUGCGUACCGAUCUGUCUGUGUGUUUUUGGGUUAAACUCGUCAGGUUCAUUGGUGUAUCUAGUCAGUCAGAACCUACCAAUUAGAAUCACUGAGGUCACUAGAGAUCAGCCAAACUGAAAUGUUGUGUAGAGUGGAAGGUAAGCAUGUGUACUACAUCAUACACAACAUGUGUACUACAUCAUACACAACAUGUGUACUACAUCAUACACAACAUGUGUACUACAUCAUACACAACAUGUGUACUACAUCAUACACAACAUGUGUAGAGUGGAAGGUGAGCAUUUGUACUACAUCAUACACAACAUGUGUACUACAUCAUACACAACAUGUGUACUACAUCAUACACGACAUGUGUAGAGUGGAAGGUGAACAUGUGUACUACAUCAUACACAACAUGUGUACUACAUCAUACACAACAUGUGUACUACAUCAUCAUACCUCUGCCUUUUACAUCUGUAAACAGGAAGUGAUAUCAGCAGCAUUUAAACAGUACUGUCCUUCAUUUCAGGUCUUCAGUCAUUUCAGAACAAGAACAACGAAGAUGAACAGUGAAAAACAGCCUGAACGUUAUUAUCUGAAGGCCAAACUAGCUUUUUAGCGGCAGGAAUAUUCUUAGAUACUUUGCCGUAACGGGGGGAAAUAAAAACCUAAAAUGCAUUUAAACUGAACAAUAAAAAUGAGUAAAUCAUACCUCUGCAUUUUUACGUCUGACCCUAAGAAAUCUCUGUUUCAACUAGAAUUGUAAGGGGGGGGUGUAGUGGUGUAAUGUAUUGUGAAGUGUGUGUACACUGAGUAUACAAAACAUUAAGAACACCUGCUCUUUCCAUGACAGACUGACCAGGUGAAUCCAGGUGAAAGCUAUGAUCCCUUUUUGAUGUCACCUGUUAAAUCCACUUCAAUCAGUGUAGAUGAAGGGGAGGAGACGAGUUAAAGAAGGGUUUUAAUCCAUGAGACAAUUGAGACAUGGAUUGUGUAUGUGUGACCAUUCAGAGGGUGAAUGGGCAAGACAAAAUAUUGAAGUGCCUUUAAACGGGGUAAUGGUAGUAGGUGCUAGGCGGUUUGUGUCAAGAACUGCAACACUGCUGGGUUUUUUACCCUCAACAGUUUCCUGUGUGUAUCAAGAAUGGUCCACCACCCAAAGGACAUCCAGCCAACUUGAUACAACUGUGGGGAAGCAUUGGAGUCAACAUGGACCAGCAUCCCUGUGGAAACGCUUUCGACACCUUGUCGAGUCCAUGACCCCGAUGAACUGAGGCUGUUCUGAGGGCAAAACGAUGGUGAAACUCAAUAUUAGGAAGGUGUUCUUAAUGUUUUGUACACUCUCAGUGUAGGUUAAUAUUGAACCUACUGGUUAUUUACCCACAAAUCACCAGGUCCUGGAAGGACAGCUUCUCCCUCCCUCUCAAGCUGUAGUGGUAGAGAACAUCAUUGGUAGCAAUUUUGCAGAGGACAGAAGUUUUUAUUUAUUAUAACCUUUAACUAGUAAUUGAUCUAAAAUGACAGACAAAAGUGAGUGUCAGUUUCCCCAUUAUCCUGAAUACUGUGAUUUACAACCGAUUGUUGUGGGAAGAUCUGGGAACAAAACUGAAUUGGUUCUCGAUUAAUUGUUUCCAGCUUCAUCAGGUUGUUUCGGAAACCGGAAAUAGUUUUAAGUCGAGUACAAAGGUUAUAGUUAAUAGUCCAAUUCAUUUCAAUGUUUUUCUAUACUUUAGUGAACAAUCAUCUCCCCAUAACAUCCUCACACCCUUGUCGAAAUAAAGCAAGAAAGUUGGCUGUGGUCUGUGAUUUAUCCAAGUUAUAUAGUGUCCGUGAUACUUUUACGCAGUAGGCCUUAACCUAACGACACACGGCGACUUGUAACAUUAAAGUUAUAAUCCUUAGUUGCCACAUCCAUUU